This is a non-coding RNA of Osmia lignaria (orchard mason bee), 2674 nucleotides long. NCBI's taxonomy places the organism in Eukaryota, Metazoa, Arthropoda, Insecta, Hymenoptera, Megachilidae. The record is from RefSeq and is a predicted model, not a curated record.
CGAUCUACGUUUUCAAAUUUCCCCGGUUUUUCAUUCAAUUUUAAUCCUGCCACCAAUCCACUUAGAAGUAACACAAAUGGUAAACGAUCACAAAUCAUCAUUUUAUUCGUAAAUUACGUGCCUUCUUGUGUAAUAAUAAUAACAAUAAAUCACUGAUAACUUGUAUUAUGAAAACAAAAGAUGCAAACUGCAAGUACCUAUGUAUUUUUUAUCUAUGUAUGUAUCUAUAAGUAAUGUACACACAUCAGAAUUUUAUUAUUUGCAAACUUUAUAAAACGAUCAAAGGCGUUGUACUCAUAGUUACUGUAACAAUUUGAUUAAGUGCAUGGUCAGAUAUACCCAGUUUACCGUCUCCCACCGUUCCAACCUUUCAUUCUAUUCCACUGGAACCAACGAUUACAAUUUCACAUUCAUUUUUAGACAAUUUUUCCUUGGUAAUGUAUUAUUGCUUUCUUUCCGUUGUUUCGAUUGCCAAUCCGUAACAAGUAUUCAUCUUUUAUGGAAAACUUAUACCACGGGUCAGACAGAUUUAUUAACGAGAGAUCGUUUAGUAUACAGUGACGAUGAUGAUUUCGACUUUGAAGAUACAGGUACUCAGCGGAGAAAGUUUUUUGAUAUUGAGGAAAAUUUACUAGAAAAUGACGUUCGAAAGAAAAAGAUAACAUUCAAUGUGUCAAAAGACAUUAAUCUCGAUGAAUUCGAAAGUGAAAUGGGAUGGUCAAAUACUGCUCGACGAGAUAAAAAUAAUAAAACGGCCCCAAAUGUGAUAGCUUUAAAACAAGAAGUAAUGGCAAUAGAUGCCAUUAUGAAAAAUAGUGUUAUCAAACCUGGGUCGGAGCAAUUAAAAUAUGUACAUAACGUACACGUAAGCAAAAGAAAAUUGCAAGCUAGAAAACAUAGAGAACGCGCUAAAACCAAGGGUACAGGCUGGUUUAAUAUGCCUGCUCCUGAAAUAACUCCAGAAAUUAAACACGACCUUCAAGUUCUUCAAAUGAGAUCGGUAUUAGAUCCAAAACAUUUUUAUAAAAAGAACGAUCUGAAAGUUUUGCCAAAAUACUUUCAAAUUGGUAAAGUUGUCGAUACACCGUUGGAUUAUUAUUCCGGACGUCUUACAAAGAAAGAACGUAAAAAGACAAUUGUGGAUGAACUGAUGGCUGAUGCUGAAUUUUCCAAGUAUAAUAAACGUAAAUAUAAGGAGAUUAUUGAUGAAAAGAACAAGUCGCAUCAUAAAGCUCAUAAGCGUGCAAAGAAACUUAAAGGAAAGAAAAAAUGAUGCUUGUCAUUCCCCCUGUGACCUCGAUGGAAGCACCAUUGAUAUAGGAACUUUUACUAGAUGCUAAAAAUACAAUAACUUCUGCUACUUCUUCCGGCUUUCCCAUUCUACGAAGAGAUUGAAAUGUUAAUUACAAUUUAAUUGCAAAAUUAAAUCGCCAAUAAAAAUUAGUCUCAUCAGAUUGCGUCAUUUAUACAAAAACGGUGGAAACUACUCGAUAACUUAUCGACUGAGUUUCGGAGAAAAAUUUUGCGGAAUUUUCAACAUUGAUUUACCUAUUUCGAAACGAAUUCGGUUGUUCUACCAGGUAACCGUACCAUAUGCUGCUGACGUCAAACUACGUCUGCAGUGACGUUAAAACGCAACACGAGUAGUACUACUAGUUACGUUUACGGAAAAAUUGAACUUGAAUUAUAGUUUUAUAGUUGAACCGAUCGUUCCUCAACAACGAUGGAAACAGUUUCUGACGUUACAUUUUACGUAUUAAAAGACAGAAUAUAGUGUGUUAAUUAAAUACCAUUUUUAAGUAAUAGGUUGUAAAAUCUAAAUCAAUAGUAACAACGUCAAGUACGUUGCUUACAAAACGGAGAUAAAUGUUCAAUUAUUUUAUUUUAUUGUUAGAAUUAUUUGUAAUUUAUCUUUCCAAUGAAUAUUUAAGAUUUUUUAAGUGUUUUAAAGUGAACUUUACAAUGGUAUGAGAUUGAAUGCAAUUUGAAAAAUGUGUAAAAUUCGACAAAGGUAAUAAUAUUAUUUAUAUCGAAAAAGCUGUAAGGAAACUUUUUAAAAUAAAAAGAUAGAAUUUAAACAGCGGAAAGGGGGAAAGAGGUUAUACGUAGAAGGCUGGCAGCACCGGCGUUUCAAGAAAUAUAACCAUGCGCCUCUGUUCUUGAUCACGCAAAACUCGUGCCAAUUUCUUUACGCAAAGUGUUCCCAGUGAAGAAGAAAGCAGGGCAGGGCGAUCAAGGGAUUGGAGAGUGAAAUGAAAAAUUUCGUUUGAAUACAAGAGAAAGAAAGAGAUAGAAAAGAAGAAAGAGGUGCGUGAGAAGAAAAUCGUACUGGUGAAGAGAAACGACGCGAUGACGCGGUGAACGCAGGAACUAGAGAAAAAUUCAACGCGGCAGUAACUGGUAACUGGUAUCGAAAUUAUCAAGCAAAAGAAUCGUUUGAAAAAUACAAAAACAGCAUAUUAUUAGAAUGUUGUUGGACGAAAGACAAUAAUGAGAUGGUUAUAAAGUUUUCGUGCUCUAGAUUCGAGGUAGAGAAAAUUACUGUAUUAUCAUUGCCGCUGUUUUUCUCCAUCGUUCCAGCUUAUUUUCCUGUGAUCGUCAGCGAAAAAGAUAAAUUUACAAGUUUAUUCGCAAAGAUUAUCUAGCGGCGACAAAGGCAGAGGACAUGAGAAAA